RNAcentral lists this small RNA (90 nucleotides) under Cricetulus griseus (Chinese hamster). The record is from RNAcentral. Lineage: Eukaryota; Metazoa; Chordata; Mammalia; Rodentia; Cricetidae.
UCUCCCUUCCAAGCACUAACCAGGCCCGACCCUGCUUAGCUUCCCAGACCAGAUGAGAUUGGGCAUGUUCAGGGUGGUAUGGCCAUAGAC